CCUAGCCAAACACACCCAUAUGUAGAGAGAGAAAAUGGGAUAAACUGAGAGGCAGCAUGGCCAUCCCACCUUCUGCGGUGGCGGAGCCACGAUGGAGCGACAGUGGAGUGACGGCGUAGAUGUGGUGAAGUCACGGCGGAGCGGUAGUGGAGCCACGGCGUAGAUGCGGUUACAGCUACACCGUCACGAACGAAGCAGACAGCGAGAGGUUAACCGGAUCCUUCGCCGUUGUUUCGUCACCGGAGUGGCAAACAUGUGUUGGAGACGAGCGGACAUGCUACCAUGGAACAAAUUGCUUGAAUAGGAUCAACGGCAGUCGAUAGCAUAACAAAAAAGGAAAAAGGUGUACGCGCUGUGUGCACGCCUUUGAAGGUGUUUGGAAUAUAUAUACAGUGAGUCUAUAUUCAGGGGCCUCCGUAGAUCAUCAAGUUCAUGGGUAAUAUAUAUAAACCUUUGUAAACUUAACUGCAGCAAAUAGUGAAUGCAAAGUUGCAAAUAUGAUUCUUUUUUUGGUUUUGGGAGUUGAUGUUUUAGUUUAUUAGCCCUGUAUGUAGUGUACGUGUAUGAUUAGAUGAAGUAUGAACUUCAUUCUUUUACAUUUGUAGCAUACAUAUUACUGUAUUCAUAACAUAUAUGCACGGCAGACAUAAAUAAAAAUCUAGCCCCCGUCGCAUCGCAGCGGGUUACUUUUCUAGUUAUAUCUAAUGUUAAUCCAAGAUCAUAC
RNAcentral lists this long non-coding RNA (724 nucleotides) under Helianthus annuus (common sunflower). The record is from RNAcentral. Lineage: Eukaryota; Viridiplantae; Streptophyta; Magnoliopsida; Asterales; Asteraceae.